This 494-nucleotide ribosomal RNA is filed under the name uncultured bacterium. RNAcentral's name for it is "partial 16S ribosomal RNA". It matches the Rfam family "Bacterial small subunit ribosomal RNA", at positions 29 to 507 of the family's 1533-position model. The record is from RNAcentral.
AACGAACGCUGGCGGCAUGCUUUACACAUGCAAGUCGAACGGCAGCGGGGUGGAGCUUGCUUCUCUGCGGGCGAGUGGCGGACGGGUGAGUCAUACAUCGGAACGUGUUGACAAGAGGGGGAUAUCCACCCGAAAGGGUUGCUAAUACCGCAUAAAUUCUGCGGCAGAAAGCUGGGGACCUAGGUUUAGGCCUUGCGCUUGUUGAGCCGGCGUUGUCGGAUGAGCUAGUUGUGGUGGUAUAGGAUCACCACGGCGAAUAUCGGUAGAGGGUGGGAGAGGAGGGUCCGCCACACGGGGAGUGAGACACGGCCCAGACUACUGCGGUAGGCAGCAGUGGGGAAUGGUAGGCAAUGGGGGCGACUCUGAUACAGCCGUGCGGCGUGUAAGAAGAAGGCGCUAGGGGUGGAAAGUACUUCUGUGAGGGGAGAAAAGAUAGCGGUGGAUACGGGCUGAUACUGACGGUACCGGAAGAAUAAGCACCGGCUAACUACGUG